UGGGGAAUAUUGCACAAUGGGCGAAAGCCUGAUGCAGCGACGCCGCGUGAGGGAUGACGGCCUUCGGGUUGUAAACCUCUUUCAGUAGGGACGAAGCGCAAGUGACGGUACCUGCAGAAGAAGCACCGGCUAACUACGUGCCAGCAGCCGCGGUAAUACGUAGGGUGCGAGCGUUGUCCGGAAAUACUGGGCGUAAAGAGCUCGUAGGCGGUUUGUCACGUCGUCUGUGAAAUCAUAGGGCUUAACCCUGGACGUGCAGGCGAUACGGGCUGACGUGAGUACUACAGGGGAGACUGGAAUUUCUGGUGUAGCGGUGGAAUGCACAGAUAUCAGGAAGAACACCGAUGGCGAAGGCAGGUCUCUGGGUAGUAACUGACGCUGAGGAGCGAAAGCAUGGGUAGCGAACAGG
Molecule: ribosomal RNA, 409 nt
Filed under: bacterium
Lineage: Bacteria
Description: partial 16S ribosomal RNA
Rfam family: Bacterial small subunit ribosomal RNA
Source: RNAcentral